This 99-nucleotide non-coding RNA is filed under the name Bacillus infantis. Its description in RNAcentral is "TPP sequence". It matches the Rfam family "TPP riboswitch aptamer (THI element)". From Rfam's summary of the family: Vitamin B(1) in its active form thiamin pyrophosphate (TPP) is an essential coenzyme that is synthesised by coupling of pyrimidine and thiazole moieties in bacteria. The previously detected thiamin-regulatory element, thi box was extended, resulting in a new, highly conserved RNA secondary structure, the THI element, which is widely distributed in eubacteria and also occurs in some archaea. Lineage: Bacteria; Bacillati; Bacillota; Bacilli; Caryophanales; Bacillaceae. The record is from RNAcentral. RNAcentral also lists the same sequence under 1 other name.
CGUAACCACAAGGGGAGCUUAAUGCUGAGAGUGAACUUUUGUUCUGACCCUUUGAACCUGUUAGAUAAUUCUAGCGCAGGGAUGUGGAUGGAUGGGUGA